CUGCCUCAGCCGAUCUUAGGCGUCUAAACGGAAGUGCUGGAGCACAUUUGCUGUGUACAGUACUGGAUAAACAUGUAUGAAUGAUUGAACGCUACGGGGUAAGUCGGUAAAGCAGUGCAGCUGCGCCGUGGAGCCGCCAGCUGUUCUGUGGCCGCUUUUACACACCUCACCACUAUUUCGCCACCAUUCUGCACAAUGGAGGGCAUAUUACACUUCUGUAAAUUCUGAUAGGCUUCUGUAGACCUUUUGCUUCUCACCCUGUCGGUGCCAAAAAAGAUGUCUCAUAGCCAAAUUUACCUGUAUAAUUUGUGCCACCCGGUAUCAUAAUCCCUUAACACUGUGAUGUUGUGAAGAUGUGUCGCUAUCACUGUGAAGGUGUGCUCGGCGAUGAUGACUGAUAGCAAGCUGAUAAUUGUAGCGAGGCAGGCAGUCAGUACAGAGACUCUUGUUCUACAUUUGGCUGAAUGGCAGCGAUGCUCUUAAGCCGAGUGCCCAAUGAGGACAUUUUCCAAAGAAGGUUCUGCUUUGGUUCCAACGGCUGGAAGGUAUGUGGGAAAGAGGUCUGCUAACCGGCUGAUUGAGAGCAAAUAUAUUCUGCUGCUACACUCUGUUACGUAUGUGAUCUGACUCUACAACAUUCAGAAAUGAACAAGCUUGUGGAAAGAAAAAAUUGAUGUCAAGAGUAGGACUUUAUGGUCGUAUUGAUUCUUCCCAUUAGCCGGUAAAAACACAUUUAUGUGCCCAUCGACAUUGAGGUGUAGGAAUUUCUCUUGGUAGCUUAUCUAAAAUGUUUAAUUCAUGAAAUCUGUAAAACUCAGUCUGAGGAACGAUUUUACAUUUGGGGUUUGUUUUGAUUUGCGCAGUUCUAUUUAUAUCACAUGAACGUCAAUAAAUGAGUAGACAUUCGGCUGCAGCUCUACUGAAGAGCUAAUCAAAUUACACAUUUUCAGAUGCAUUACUCCAUGGUGUAUGCACAAUGCGUACUUUUUGACUCGAAACAAGUUAAAAAUGCAGAUAAACUGUAUGCCAUAGGAACAAACAUGAAACUGCCGUGAAUUGUUUAAAAAAACGUGCCGCUUUAAAUAAAAGUUCUACUCAUCUGGUACAUUCAGUUCACUGGGCACAUACAAGUUUAGUCGAGUUUAGUUGACUGUCACAUGGUUGCUGCACCUUUCACGUAUUGCAAGUGAGAGGCAUUAAAAUCAACAGAUUAUGAAAUCAAGUGUAUGUGGAAGCUGACUAUUUUACAUGGGGUCACGCAGUUGCAGGUCCAUCGUGCUGAAUAAUCACAGCUGCAGCAAUUGUUCAUUUGUUAGACAGGGGACACUCCAUCAUCGUCACUUUGUCACGUUCAAUCGCGAUGUUUAUCUGGUCCACAGAUAGGUUGUUUGUCAAAUAGUGAAUCCUUUGAUAAAUGACUGUGACCGGCGCUGGACCUGAAGAAUUUCCUGUACAUCUCCUGUGGAAACCAGGUUUCCCUGGGGUUGGGUAAUGACGUGCAGUAUAAAAACGGGUGGUUUGGCAUUAAAUAUGAUUUUUAAAUCAGACUAGAAUCAUUUUGAGUUUACACAUGUCGUAAAGGCUAUUCCACUUCUAUAUGACACAGUUUGUACCCAGAAGUACGUGGAAACAACAGCUGCAUUGCCUCUUCUGUUGAAUACAUACUAUAUGCCAUAUAUUUGUGUAAUAAAUGGAAACCAGUUAACCAUU
Molecule: long non-coding RNA, 1710 nt
Organism: Gasterosteus aculeatus aculeatus (three-spined stickleback)
Lineage: Eukaryota; Metazoa; Chordata; Actinopteri; Perciformes; Gasterosteidae
Source: Ensembl